This is a non-coding RNA of Pelobates cultripes (western spadefoot toad), 978 nucleotides long. The record is from the annotation of a GenBank genome assembly. NCBI's taxonomy places the organism in Eukaryota, Metazoa, Chordata, Amphibia, Anura, Pelobatidae.
GAUGCAGGUCUUGCAAAGGGCCAUCCACUAUCUACAUAUCUAAUUAUGAGAAACAUUUAUUAUGUGCUAGGGCACAAAGUGAGUGAGAAAGAGCACCCUCCUUACAGUCUAACAGCAAGAGAUGGUAAAAGGCAAAAGCUUUAUAACAUUAUUAAAGUGUUGAUUUCCUUUUGAAAUCUGCACUUUUUAUACAGUAAGAAAGAAGGGAGUCUGUUGCCCUGCAAUGUGCUUUAAAGGAACACUACUAUAGUGUUAGGAAUACAAACAGUAUGUAUUUAACAGUAUAGUCAUGAACUACAUUUUUAAGUGACCCUACCAGAACGUAGAUAAAAGGUAGUUUUACUUAUCUUUUCUCCGUUGCUGAGGUGGCCUCACCUCCAUGUCUGAGACUAUCAAUCUUGAGUCAUUGCAGGAUCUAACCAGGAAGGCUUUUUAAUAGAUGAGAUGUCAGCCACUAGAGGUGUUACUAGGUUGCAAGGUAAAUUAAAGGCAGCUUUUACAUUUCUGUGCCUGCAGGGACAUGCUAUAUACACCAGAACCACUACAUUAAGCUGCCCCCCUACUUAGCUCAACAAAGAACUACAUUUUUUGCCUCAUAAUUCCACUUUAUACAUGGAUUCCUUGGAGUAUGUAUCUGCUGUAUACAACAGCUUUAAAACACAACUCAGGAAGAGGAGCAAAGGGUUUUCAUCCACACUUUUUUCCCCACCACAACUCUCUUGGUAUGUACAUUACAAGUAAUGCCAAGUCUCCAUAGCAAGCCAGUAACCAACUUCAUGCUGAUGAGUUGCAUUAACAACGAAAUAGCUGUCCAUGAGUGGUUCACUGGCUUUGCUCCUCUUCCUGAAUUGUGUUUCAAAGCUGUUGUAUACAGAAGACACAUACUCCAAGGAAUCCAUGUAUAAGGUAAAAUUAUGAGGCAAAAAUGUGGUUAGUUGUUGAACUUAUUUGCAUACGUCUACCCAGAAUCCCUUGCAG